GCAGUCGAGCGGUAACAGAUCCAGCUUGCUGGAUGCUGACGAGCGGCGGACGGGUGAGUAAUGCAUAGGAAUCUGCCCGAUAGUGGGGGAUAACCUGGGGAAACCCAGGCUAAUACCGCAUACGUCCUACGGGAGAAAGGGGGCUCCGGCUCCCGCUAUGGGAUGAGCCUAUGUCGGAUUAGCUAGUUGGUGAGGUAACGGCUCACCAAGGCCACGAUCCGUAGCUGGUCUGAGAGGAUGAUCAGCCACAUCGGGACUGAGACACGGCCCGAACUCCUACGGGAGGCAGCAGUGGGGAAUAUUGGACAAUGGGGGAAACCCUGAUCCAGCCAUGCCGCGUGUGUGAAGAAGGCCCUCGGGUUGUAAAGCACUUUCAGCGAGGAAGAACGCCUAGCGGUUAAUACCCGCUAGGAAAGACAUCACUCGCAGAAGAAGCACCGGCUAACUCCGUGCCAGCAGCCGCGGUAAUACGGAGGGUGCAAGCGUUAAUCGGAAUUACUGGGCGUAAAGCGCGC
This 515-nucleotide ribosomal RNA is filed under the name Vreelandella aquamarina. Its description in RNAcentral is "bacterial SSU rRNA". It matches the Rfam family "Bacterial small subunit ribosomal RNA", at positions 57 to 570 of the family's 1533-position model. The record is from RNAcentral. Lineage: Bacteria; Pseudomonadati; Pseudomonadota; Gammaproteobacteria; Oceanospirillales; Halomonadaceae.